Molecule: transfer RNA, 76 nt
Filed under: Verrucomicrobiia bacterium
Lineage: Bacteria; Pseudomonadati; Verrucomicrobiota; Verrucomicrobiia
Description: tRNA-Trp
Rfam family: tRNA
About the family: Transfer RNA (tRNA) molecules are approximately 80 nucleotides in length. Their secondary structure includes four short double-helical elements and three loops (D, anti-codon, and T loops).
Source: RNAcentral
ACGGCAGUAGCUCAGUUGGUAGAGCAGCGGUCUCCAAAACCGCGGGUCGGGGGUUCGAGUCCCUCCUGCCGUGCCA